ACCCAGUAAUUCAUUAUUACUGGCUAAGCUAUUGGUGGCAUUGCAUGGUUUAUAUAAGUGUGCUGUCCAGAAACUUCCAUUACCUUGGAGAGUCCUGAGUUGUUAUAUUACAGUUCUUCAUCUUAGAAGGUGGUCAUAAGAAAGUUUAGUGCUGAAACUAGAAGAAUUAUACCAGAAAUAAAAUGCAUAAGGUCAUUGAAAAUGCUUACACAAGCGUGUGUGGUUAUUUGGUUAUAAAAAGCCCUUUAUUUAGUAAAAUAUCUGCUGUUUAGGAAAGGCUGGAAUUCAUAUAAAGGUUGCUCUUAGACUUAAAAUCUAUUUAAAAGUAUUGUGAAUAAUUACUUGUGGUAAAUGUUAUUGACAUUGACUCAUAGGGUCUGAUGUACAUUGGUUUAAUGUUCCAAAUAACAGGUCUUAAAAUCCAGAUUCUUCUACUUUCAAGUGUCCCUAAUGCCCCAAUAAAUUAGCUCUUAGAUUAACACUUUGUUGAAUUAAGGUAAUCUAAUGUGUUUUUUAGAAUCUGCACGACUCAUAAAAGUGUUCAGCUGUGUUUUUCAGAAAUAAUUAGAAAUUUAGAAACUUUGAAAAUCUGGAGUCUCACUUUCUCGUAACUUCUGGAAAACUGAUUAACUUUUCUUCUUUUGUCUUUUUCUUUCUUCCUGUGUUCCCAUCCCCGAGCCCUGCAGAGCAAAGAUGGGCUCGGUGCUGUUUGUGUGUCUCCUGCUCAGGACGUGGACGGCUGUGGUUGCUGUGGGUGGAGAGCGCAGAUCAGGAGAGCGCGGCUGGAAGGGCUCAGUGCCUGGUACAAUUUAUGCUGCAUUUAAUCAGCGGUGCCUGCGAGAUCGUCUUUGUUCCUUUACAAUACUGGCAAGAAAAUAUUUCAGAACUACAAUAGCCUACCAGUGAUAUUGACUUUGAAUUGAGUCUAGUUUCUCUGUGCAUUUGAAAUAACAAUGAGGUCAUUAACUGUGAGGUUGGUAUUGGGCUAAGCAAACUGACUAAGAAGUGGUUACAGAGAAUACAAAAACCGUCUCCUAAGCAAGAGAAUACUUCAGAUGUGUGAGGAAAAGAGUUUUGGCUUUCAAAGUGGCUGUAUAGACAAUCAUUCUUUUAAGACACUUGACUGAAAAGUUGUUUAUUUGAUCUCACAUGAAGAUGGAAAAUCUCUCAGCACAGAAUCCUGAGCCAUUAGGAGAUUUGGAUUAGGAAGGAAUCAUUUCUGUUCUGAGAGUAAGGGAAUACUGCAGCUGAGAUUUUUAUUCUACAAAGAUAUAUAAAGGGCUAGCAGCAGAACAUUGUGCUGCUGCAUUGGCAAGAUGACAAGAUUUGAAAGUGGCAGAUUUUAAAUAAAUAGGUGGAAACACAAUUACUCA
Molecule: long non-coding RNA, 1373 nt
Filed under: Junco hyemalis (dark-eyed junco)
Lineage: Eukaryota; Metazoa; Chordata; Aves; Passeriformes; Passerellidae
Description: lncRNA (ENSJHYG00000004721.1)
Source: RNAcentral